GAAAUGCGAUAACUAGUGUGAAUUGCAGAAUUCCGUGAAUCAUCGAGUCUUUGAACGCACAUUGCGCCCCCUGGUAUUCCGGGGGGCAUGCCUGUCCGAGCGUCAUUGCUGCCCAUCAAGCACGGCUUGUGUGUUGGGUCGUCGUCCCCUCUCCGGGGGGGACGGGCCCCAAAGGCAGCGGCGGCACCGCGUCCGAUCCUCGAGCGUAUGGGGCUUUGUCACCCGCUCUGUAGGCCCGGCCGGCGCUUGCCGAACGCAAAUCAAUCUUUUUCCAUGUUGACCUCGGAUCAGGUAGGGAUACCCGCUGAACUUAAGC
Molecule: unclassified non-coding RNA, 316 nt
Filed under: plant metagenome
Description: partial contains 5.8S ribosomal RNA, internal transcribed spacer 2, and large subunit ribosomal RNA
Rfam family: 5.8S ribosomal RNA (bases 1-105)
Source: RNAcentral